Non-coding RNA from Phodopus roborovskii (desert hamster), 740 nucleotides. The record is from the annotation of a RefSeq genome assembly. NCBI's taxonomy places the organism in Eukaryota, Metazoa, Chordata, Mammalia, Rodentia, Cricetidae.
CCUCUCCACAGUCACUGAGCACACAGGUCCUCACCAUGGGAUGGAGCUGGAUCAUCCUCUUCCUGGUGACAGCAGCUACAGGUGUCUACUCUCAGGUCAAGCUGGAGCAGUCUGGGGCUGAGCUGGUGAAGCCUGGGUCCUCAGUGAAGCUGUCCUGCAAGGCUUCAGGAUACACCUUCACUAGUUACUAUAUCAGCUGGGUGAAGCAGAAGCCUGGACAGGGCCUGGAAUGGAUUGGGUAUAUUUAUCCUGGAAAUGGUGGUACUGGAUACAAUCAGAAGUUCAAGGGCAAGGCCACACUGACUGCGGACACAUCCUCCAGCACAGCCUACAUGGAGCUCAGCAGCCUGACAUCUGAGGACUCUGCAGUCUAUUACUGUGCAAGAGACACAGUGUUGCAACCACAUCCUGAGUGUGUCAGAAACCCUGGAGGAGCAGGAAGCUGCCCUGGGACUUACUCAGAAAUAAUCAUUCUGAAUGUCACUUUGUCACUUCAUAGUCACUUAGGGUAUUUGUACACUCUUCAAAGGACAUUAGAGAAUGAACAAUGCUGGAGGACUGUGUGGUCAAGAUCAUUAACAUCAACCCUAGCAGGUGUCCAAGCACAGAUCCAGCUGGUGCAGUCAGGAGCUGAGUUGAAGCAACCUGAACAGUCAGUGAAGAUCUCCUGCAAGGCGUCAGGGUAUACCUUCACAGAUCAUACAAUGUACUUGGUGAAGCAGGCACCGGGGCAUGGCUGA